UCGUUGCCAUCUUCAAAUGCACCGGCAGCUGCAUGCUGCCCAGCAGAUAAAUUUAAGUCAAUGCAGAGAGUUUGUUUGCUGUCAUGCUGCACGGAAUAUUGAACUCAUUCGGUUGCAGCUGGUAGGCCAGAUAUUGAAUCUACCCUGCCGUCUGCUUAAGUGAGCGCAUCUUGCCCAGAACCUGCUAGAAGGUUUCAUUCCUAUGGAAACCUCAAAAUAACAGGAAGAAUAGUAAAUAAUACGUUCAUUGAAAAAAUAUGAAGGAAUCAUGUUGACGUAAUGUGUUAAAUUUGAACUACCAAUGUCAUUUGGUUAGGAGAAUAACCUACCUGAACUGCUUGUUACGAAUUCAAGAUUCUACAUUUACCAUAAUAAGUCUACCAAUUGUGAUUUCCAAGAAUCUAUUUAUGAGAGUUUUUCUAAAUGAUUUACUAGAAUCUACGUACCUUGUAUGUGAUUUAUGGUAUACAUGAUUACUAGAAUCUGCGCCCCUUAUAUGUGAUUUACAAUAUUUAACUUCAGAUGAUAACCGCAGUGGCGUCAGAAUGAUAACAAGAAGAUAAUCAUGCUUUUGUAUAGUCCUGCCUUGGGUUUAUAUGGAACCAAAUUUACAAGAAUUAAGUAACAAGAAUCUAUGCAUUUACUAUAAUAUAAUGAUAACAAAGAAGCACUGACCCAAAAGAUGACCAAAGACUAAUUGACAUUGUUUUUGCCUACUGAACACAAUGAUCAUUCUAGUAGUGGAUUAGUAAUAGAAGGAAACUAGCUUGCAGGCUAAAAAAAUAUUGUUACUGCUCUAUGAUUGAGUUGCCACGAAAAAGGUGAUGAUGAAAUCGAUCUGAAUAACGCUCAUGCUAACACAAUCUUCAGAAAUCAAACUACUGUAUUGGGAGCGGGAUUCACUCUGGCACUCUGUAGUCUACCGCUUCCUUCUGCUUAUAAAAUAAGACAAUAAAACACUAAUUAUGCUUACAACUGGAUUUCCAUUGGCAGUAAUUUGCUCCAUCUCUUGUGCGUGUGCGCUGCGACAGAGAUCCAUCAGCUACGGCAGGAAAAUCGAGUAGCUGAUAUGGGUGCACGGGUGAUGCUGGUACCGUUCCGGAUCGAGGUGCACGGAGAUCCAUCAACAUUCAUUCUGCAUGCAGCAAUAAAAAUUGGGGGUUUGUCACAAAUUUGAAGCACAAAACAGACGAAUCGAUGCAAGCUAAGAAGUCCCUACCCAUUCAGAUAAGUAAUUAGCAUGGAUUCCUAAAUUUGCAAAAAUACUGACCAAGUUCUGACACAAUUCAAAAUUGUAGUUCCGUGAUACAUAAGGGACAGAUCCACACAAAUGAACAACUCUUAAACAUGUUGAAAUCAGCUUGCUUAAAAAAAUAGUAAAUUAUAUGGUGAAUUUACCAAGGAACCUGAAGGUCUCCUACAAUUACCAUAAUUGUUUAUAGUACAAUUACGAGAACUGAUGGAAAAAAACUGAGUAAAUGGUAUGAUAUAUUUACAAUAGCACUGUGUACCUAAAGACCAUCGACUCUCACUGAGAGAAAUUACGAGAAUUGUAAAAUAACUAAAAUUUUAGUUAUGAAAAGAAGGGCAUGUGGUGCCAAAGAUAUUCGUAUUUGAAUUGCUGCAAAGAAAAGGUUAAAAUUAGUGAUGAUGAAAUCCAUCAAAACAAACUGCUUUUAUCGAGAGAGGGAAUUAACUCGUGUAAUCAUAUUCUGAUUUUAGCUUCAAUUCGUACUACAAUCAAAUCAGAUGAAAUGGAUAGAAUGGGAUAGAUUAGGCUUACCAGGACCGCUUGGCAGCCUAAUCCGUGAGGACGACACGACUUGGCUGGGGUCUCACCAUCAACGAGCCGCCGGGAUCUGACGCCAUCGCCGGCGACCUGCUCCCAAUGAGGUAGGCGAUUCUGGAGGGUGCUAUCUUCGCGGAGGGAAAGGGCGGCCGUCGGGUUGCCGCCAGGGCAUCGUCGGGCCACCAUGGUUCCAAGCGAUGGGAGUCUCCCACACACAGAGAUCCAAGGUCAUAGUCUCGCACAUACACGGGGAGGAGGCCAGCUUCCCCGAGUCCUAGCAGCGGGUCACCAUGGAAGCUGUGUGGGAGAGUGGCGAAGGGGCAGCGGAGGUCACCAGAGCUGCACGCCGCGCCGCCAUCAUGGGGAGUGGCACCUGCUUUUCGCGACGGAGGAGCCAGGGAUAAUGAGUCACGCCAUGUCGCCUAUCUUGACAACCUCCCAUACCAGGAGGGAAC
Molecule: long non-coding RNA, 2244 nt
Filed under: Setaria viridis
Lineage: Eukaryota; Viridiplantae; Streptophyta; Magnoliopsida; Poales; Poaceae
Description: long non-coding RNA (SVIR_LNC005526)
Source: RNAcentral